UAAGUAUGAUCUACGUCUCCUUAAUAAGUCUAGUAAUUUUUUUUAAAUUAAAAUGUAACUUCUUGUAUAUUCAAAAUUUGAUAAGUAUCUUGUUGAAACUGUAACUUAUUAAGAAUUAUUAUAAUGAUGCAGGAAGAGCAUGUACUAGUAGAACACCGAAGGUAGAAGGAGCUGUACAUAAAAGAGACAAACAAUUAGAAACUAGAAAAAUAUUAGGUGCAUCAAAAUUUGUAGUACCUUUAAAGGCUCGUAGUGGACUCAAUUUUGAUAGCUUGAUCCUUUUUACCGAUGAAGACAUUUUUAAGUAGAUCAAUCAACAAUUCAGAUAAAAUACAACGGAAAUGGCAACAAAAUAAUGUUUGUAGACCACAAGAAUAGAUAAUGCUGAUAUUUCUUUAGUUUUGAAAAAGAAAUAAAUUUACUCGUAAUCAGCGUUAACAA
Long non-coding RNA from Anthonomus grandis grandis, 441 nucleotides. RefSeq lists it as uncharacterized. The transcript is spliced from 2 exons. The record is from RefSeq and is a predicted model, not a curated record. Lineage: Eukaryota; Metazoa; Arthropoda; Insecta; Coleoptera; Curculionidae.